CCAUAUAAAUCACUAGUACUCUAUUAACAUAAAAAAUGAUCUAAUUAUCAUAAUAAAUUAGUUAAUUGAUCAAAUAUAGUACAAACACGCGUAAAAAAAGAUCACCUCCUGCCUGCAUGUCGACACUGUAUUUAAUCAAUCGACCAAAAUUAACUUCAUACUAACCGGUACUCUCCAUAAAAAGACUAUAUGAGAUCGAGUACAAGCAUCAAAAAUUAAUCUUGGAAAGAAAACACUAGCAGAUUUUAUCUAUAAAUCACUUCUUUUCUCAAAGUUAUGCCACCGAGACAAAAUGACUGUUUCCACAAUAAAAUUUUGAUUAUGUUCUUUUACUAUUAUUAAUAAUUACUGCAACUAACAGAGUCGAAUGAAGUUUAGUUCUGUUUUAUAAAACUUUAUCCACCACCAAAGUUAACAAACCAAGAAUCGACAAUUAUGAAUGAGAAAAUUAUUAUUAUUAUUAUCACAAUAUAAUCUUAUUGAUCCCAAAGUGAGAAAACGAAUAAAAGAUUAGCCUUGAAAAGGGAAAAAACAACACAAUAAUUUGUUUGGGAUCCUUAUAAACAAUAACUAAAUUUAUUAUCGUAUGUUACAAAUAUUUGAUUUAAGCUAAAAUGAUUCAAUGAGAAAUUGGUUAUUAUUUAAAAUACACGACUUAAUUUCGAAAUUGAACUCUCAAAAAGGGAGUGUAUGCAAAAUACAUAUACUUCAACAUAUGAAAGAAUAUAUAUAUAUAUAUAGUUUAAAUGUAUCCCCUAUAUUAGCAAAAAAUAAAAUAGCGAUCCAAUAAUACUUUGUUGUACAAAAUGGUGUGAAUAGUAUUUAUUAAUUGCAACUAUUAUAGAACAUUCAAUAAUUAAAAUCUUGCAGUCAUCUUCUGUUGACUGUAGCAUUACUGAAAGAACUCGAUCACCUACAAAUAAAUUACUCCUAUAUCUCUAAUUUAGUUCGGCAAGUAAUAGUAAAUUUAUGUUCAUUUUAGGUCAAGGGACAUAAAAGAAAAUAACUAUCAUAUUCAUCAGUAAAAUUGUACGUAAACGUAAUAAUAAAAUAGCGAAAAAUAUCACCAGUAGAAUGAAAAGUUUUGAAGCACGCCAUCAGCUGCACGCCCAGUGGUUCCCAUUUGGAGUGCCUAGCUAGCUCUCUAGAUCAAUUGUAUGCCUGGCCAAGUCCUCCUUAACUAUGUCAUUAGGCAAAUGUUUGGAAACAGACUCCAAUAAAUUUACUAGCUAGUUUCUUAAUCAUGCGUUGCGUAUAUAUGUUGAAACCAUACCUACUAGUAAAGCUCCCUCUACAGAGAUUUGGUGCCCAUUAUAAUAUUACCUAUUCCCCAUAUACAAAUUUAACCUCGCAGCAAUUAAAGAGAAAACUGAUAUUUAAUUAUUCUAGCAUAAAUUAAAGACGAAUAUGAUCCACGCCAACGUGUAACCAAGUAUUAAUUGCAUAGUUUAGAUACUCCACCUGUAGUAGUAAUUAAUGAAAUGGAUACAGCCUUAAUUACCCAGUUACCCUUGUACGUAUAACUAUAGGUUUGGUACUUGUGUUGGCCAGUAAUGGCAUUUUCGAUCCUCGAUCAUGAGCUACAUUGUACGAUAUGCACUCCACAAUACAAUGCGUAGUAGAUAUAUACACCUAACAAAUGCAAUGCAUUAUACAUAUAGCAUAAACGAGUGGUAUAUAUAUACAUACAUAUAUAUAUAUAUAUAUAUAUAUAUAUAUAUAUAUAAUUUUCAAAACAAAAAUAGUACUACACCAAUAUCAAUAUGACAACUUCAUCAACAAAAUCCCUGCGAAUUUAAGCAAACCGAAAUUCAAAGCUAUUCACGAAUGGAUUCUUUUGCCGGUACAUUUUUGCCCUUGUUACUUGGGAUCAACUUUGGAAGGAAAAAUUAUAUAAAAUCUCAUAUUCACCUGAUUUCUCCAAUCUCGAUCGGGCAUAAGAAUAUAUAUAUAGAUCAAGAAACUCUGCACAAGGAAUAGAAAAUGAAAAACAAACCAACAUAAAUAGAAUUUAGAUGCAAAGCCUUAUAGUUUCAAAAAACGUAGAACAAAGAGGGAAAUAAUAAUUAUAUAUAGCCAGCAAAAUAAAUUAUUAACGAGUGGCCUUGGAGAAGAUAUUAGGGUUUACCCACGGGAUCGAUCAACAUGCUCCUCACUCUAACUAUGGGGUUGAAUAUUAAGCAGGAGUAUCUAAUUGUUUAUCAAAUAAGAAACUAGUAGUAAUUUACAGGAAUUAUUAGUGUAGGGUUAUGAUCAAGUAUAUAUACAAACAAAAGGGAAAUCACAUACAAGCUGCCACUUACUUACCUAGCUAGAUAUUAAUUUGUUACUUUAAUUGUAUAUAGGGAGUAUAAAUAAAUAUAAAAUGAAUUUAUUGAUUGAUUCUACAGAUACAUAUACAUAUAUAUAUAUAAGCGAUCGAUUGAGAUUAUUGAUGAUAUGGAUGGAUGAGAAAGGGUUUUGCAAAGAGAGACCAACAGAGCUCCGUUGGCAGUAUGCCCACCUCCAUCUAUAUAUACAUAUACAUGAAACUAAAAUUGAAACUGAGAUUGAUAUAUAUAUAUAUAGAGAGAGAGAGAUUGUGGUUGAAAUAUCAAAAAUACGUAUAACACAAACACUGUUUUUUUUGGUGUAUACAUACUACACACAUAGUUUGGGGAGGAGGUGGACAGAAUGCCAAAAAACUCGGUAAGAAGCCCUUUGUUAAACCUCCCCAUGACCUUAUUUCCUUACCUUUUCUUCCGUUAAAUCUUGUGUAUAUUUUUUUCACCCCUCAUCACCAAAAUACACAGAAUACUGGUUAGCUACUUGCUGGUAUGUAUGACUUGUAUUAUUAGAGAUCAAGAGAGGAGAGAGGGAUUGAAGAUGGGGCAGUUGGGUUGUACUACUACUACAACAACUAUUUAAGAUGCAUGUGAGAUUGUGAGGUGAGAUCAUAAGGCUAGGCUAGGCUACUAUAGUAAAUAAGAGAGAGAAAGAAAUAAGAAGAGGUGUAAAUCCAUAAUAAGAAGUUAAGAGAGGGAGAGAUUGGAUGGUUGAUGAGUUGAUUGAAUCUUUACAAAGAGGCAGGAUGAGGGCAUAUUUAGAAGGAAAGGGGAUCAUCAUCAUCAUACUUAUUCCUCC
RNAcentral lists this long non-coding RNA (3123 nucleotides) under Panax ginseng (ginseng). RNAcentral's name for it is "long non-coding RNA (PGIN_LNC009447)". Lineage: Eukaryota; Viridiplantae; Streptophyta; Magnoliopsida; Apiales; Araliaceae. The record is from RNAcentral.